UCCCCGCCAAUCACAGCCACGGCCGGAACGUUUUCAGCCAAUGACGGGGAAGCUUCUGUUUCCUGUUGCAAUCCAGCUGUAAACUGCUUUUACAUGUUUGGGGGUUAGAUGCACAGCAGCUUUCUACAUCUGCUCCAUAUGUUACUAUUAUACCCACAGAUAAUGCAUAUAAUUCAGGGAAACUCGGUGGCUUAGAUGGAGGUACCCAAACCUUUUGGGGCUUCGGCACACCACGAUCCAACCCGAAGACUUGGGGCACACCAACAUGAUUAUGAUUAGGAAAAAGUGUCACAAACAUCGGCCAGGUUUAUAUAUACAACCGGAUUGUGUUUCGAUGCAAAAACGCAUCUGUUUACAUGCAACGUCUUAGCCUGUCUACACAAAGGGGCGUUCUACGAGAGAUUCCUGCUUGAUAUGCAUAUGCACAUACCGGAAACUUUUACCAGAAUUUUCUUGCAAAGGUUUUUACAUACUCUGAGAAUCGGUGCGAUAACGCACUGAAAUGUGUUAAAUGCUAGAAAUUCGUAGAUGUAUAAUAUACACUAGGUUUUGAGGCGUUUAAUCGCAAUAUUUCU
This is a long non-coding RNA of Gadus macrocephalus (Pacific cod), 575 nucleotides long. RefSeq lists it as uncharacterized. Lineage: Eukaryota; Metazoa; Chordata; Actinopteri; Gadiformes; Gadidae. The record is from RefSeq and is a predicted model, not a curated record. The transcript has 2 exons.